AGCAGCCGCGGUAAUUCCAGCUCCAAUAGCGUAUAUUAAAAGUUGUUGCAGUUAAAAAGUCGUAGUUGAAUUUUUCGGGGUCAAGUAGGUUGGUCGUGCCACCCGGUACGUACUGGUCCACUGAUUUCCUCCUUUCCUGAUGAGCUGUAAUUGCCAAUUAAUUUUGGUGUUUGCAGGAAUCUGGACUGUUUACUUUUUGAAAAAAAUUUAGAGUGUUUUUUAAAGCAGGGCUAACGUUGAAU
This 242-nucleotide ribosomal RNA is filed under the name uncultured Glomeromycotina. RNAcentral's name for it is "partial small subunit ribosomal RNA". It matches the Rfam family "Eukaryotic small subunit ribosomal RNA", at positions 569 to 800 of the family's 1831-position model. Lineage: Eukaryota; Fungi; Glomeromycota. The record is from RNAcentral.